Molecule: ribosomal RNA, 207 nt
Filed under: uncultured bacterium
Lineage: Bacteria
Description: partial 16S ribosomal RNA
Rfam family: Bacterial small subunit ribosomal RNA
Source: RNAcentral
UGAGCAGGCGGCAGAUUAAGUUUGAGGUUAAAGCGUGGGGCUCAACCCCACUAAAGCCUUGAAAACUGAUCAGCUAGAGUACGAGAGAUGUGAAGGGAACUCCAUGUGUAGCGGUGAAAUGCGUAGAUAUAUGGAAGAACACCAGUGGCGAAGGCGCUUCACAAGCUCGAAACUGACGCUCAGUCACGAAAGCGUGGGUAGCAAAUA